GCUUUAUUUGGUAUGGAUCGGACAAUUACUUGUUAUGUUGGAUGAGGCAGUUUGUAAUGGUGGUUUCUAGGUUUGGUUCUAUGUAUCCAUUGUUGAACUUUUUGAAGGCAUACAUACUGUUGUAAUUAUUGAAGUUAUAGCUACUUGGUAUUUUUUUUUUUUUUGUUUCUUUGAGAUUCAUAUGUUUGUGGAAUUGCAGGGAGUGGCUGAGCGAGUCUGUCUUAGUCUCUUGCCUACUAGUGAGGGUAGUUGGGUUACUGUUGCAAGGGCAUUGAGCAUCUUUCACACAUGGAAGCAUUGUGGCGGAGCUCUGAUGCGAAAAUUGAUAAAGCACAGCCAGCCAUUAAAAUCAGGCUAGGGACAAAGCUAUGGUUGUCAACUUAGAGUUUAUAAAGGCUAUAGUUACAGCUGAAGAAGUGCUGUUGCUUGAUCCUCUCUGCCAGGAGGUUCUUCCGUUUGUGGAUCUGCUGCGGCAACAACUUCCUCAUAAAAGCGUGUCCAAAAGUCAAGGAGGGGGUCAAAUGGAUGUACAAGAUAAUGAAAUGCAAUUAUCAUCUAGGGGACAAUGGUUAUCCGUUCCUAAAGCCGUUGAAGGUUUGUAGUGUGACCUCCCAUUUGAGUUUCAAGUUGUUGAGAUUGCAUUGAAGGUUGUCUGUACAUAUUUGGACUCUAGUGUAGUAGACCUUGAGAGAAAUGCUUACCCUGUAUUGGAUGAACUGGUGAGGAAUGUUAGCACCAAGAAUCUUGAGCACGCGAGGAGUUUGAAAAGCAAUCUGGCCAGUUUACUUGUACGGGUACAAAAGGUGCGUGAUGAAAUUGAACAUCUUUUAGAUGACAAUGAAGACAUGGCACAUUUAUACUUAACAAGGAAAUGGAUUCAGAGUCAGCAAUUUGAGGCUUAGUUAGCAGUUCAUCAAUUUUGGUUGCAAGUGGUGUCUUGAUAUGACUAGAUGGCAAGUGGUGUGUUGGUAUGACUAGAUGGCAAGUGGUGUCUUGAUAUGAAUUGCAUCAUGUGGACAACAAACAUUAAUUUGUAAAUUGUCCACAAAUGUUAAGCUCAAAACUUGUGUUCUUAGUAGGUGGUCAUUAUUAUGUACAUGGUUCCUUUGUCAUGUCUUAUGUUUGCUAGGUAAAUACUAUGUUUGCUAGGAUGUGUGAUCCUUUUAUUUGGUUUUAGUUUUUAGAAAUUAUUAUCUUUUUUUAUUUUAUAUUUUUUUUCAUUGAUGCUUGUGACUGUCAAUAGUAACUUGGGUUAUUUGCUCUCAAGGAAUCACAAAACACACCGAGUCAUUCAAUGUCUCUCAACUACCAAAGCUUAAAUUUUGUAGUAAUCAGUGUCUUUAUAUUGUCGGAACUUAUGUUUACAAACAAAUGUUUCUUUGAGUGUUAAGUUCAUGCAUAGUUGAUGGAAUUGAACUUAAAACAUAGGAAACCCAAUUCAAAUAGUUGAAAUGAUGAUGAUGAUUUUCAAUUGUGUAAAGAGAUAUUCCUUCCCCACAUGCUUUUAUUGAUCCAAAGAAGACUCGAGCAUCUAGGGAAGUGUUAAAACAAUUCAUGGACCACUCUCUAAUCUUAGAAUUGGAAUCAUCGGUGAUUACAAAAAUUUCUUUUUCCUGAGUCUAACCUUUUACUUUCAUGGCUAGCCUUUCCAAGAACUUAAGUGGCUGGAGAUAAUGGCUAAAAACCAAUAGUUUCUCACCACCUGAUUUGCACAAGCCUAACAGAUUAAGGAAGAACUUUGCCUUCACUCCUCUAAGGGUCAAGUCUUUUUCAUUCUUUUGAGGCUUUUCUUUUGUUGACUAUUUUAAUUCAAUAUAUGCUUGC
Non-coding RNA from Camellia sinensis, 1824 nucleotides. The record is from RefSeq and is a predicted model, not a curated record. NCBI's taxonomy places the organism in Eukaryota, Viridiplantae, Streptophyta, Magnoliopsida, Ericales, Theaceae.